Molecule: long non-coding RNA, 2583 nt
Organism: Manis pentadactyla (Chinese pangolin)
Lineage: Eukaryota; Metazoa; Chordata; Mammalia; Pholidota; Manidae
Exons: 5
Source: RefSeq, a predicted model, not a curated record
AGACUUGGUGGGAGGGCGGACAGAGGGGACCUUGGCGCCAGGAGGGGCCUGAGAGAGUGCGUAGGAGCAGAUGGAGUGUUUACAGGCAGUCUGGAGAGCUGGAGAGUGGGAUUCCUGAGGAAGGGGGCCCGUGAAAUGAAUGGACGGCAUGCACUGGGAGCCUUAUGGCUGCGGUUUGCUGUUUGGACAGGCUGAAAAGAUCCUUCCACCAAACAGAUACUGCGGGCUAUGAAAUUAAGACCCCAGGGCACAUCGAGGGAGAUCUGGGGUGCUCCCAGAUUCAGGGAAAUGGGGCUUGAAGGGCUAGCCCAAAAGUGAAAUUGGAGGUGGCACGGGGGGUCAGACUGGGGGGUUAACUGGACAACCCCAGAGAUGUGGAGUAAGGCUUGUUGAGCCGAAACAGCUUGCUGAGGAAGGGGACGGGGCUGGAAAAGGUGACCAGGGGACCAGUGGAUGUAGUGUGAAUUGAAUUCCUGAGUUCCUGAGACUUGCGGACAGACCCCCUGCUGAGGCUGGGAGAAGGGUGAUGAGCCAGAGACACCCCCUCGGGGAGAGCAAAGGCUGGCUGUCCCCUGACAGGGAAGAAAAUGCAGCAAGCUGAGAUCUCCCUCCAGUCAGGGAGAUUCGGAGGUGUGUACUGAGCAAAGAGGCUUCGGGCCUGAGGGACAUGCCUGAGCCCCCACCCAAUCUCCACCCCCAGCAGCCAGACGCAGAAGAGGAAAAGGUGGAUGGACACCGGGAGGCAGCCUGAUAAAGACCCUGGCCAGGCCAGCACCUCUCACCGGCUCCUGGGGCUGGGCUGUCCCGCAACGGAUCCAGAUUGGUGCGCGGUGCCGGGCACGGAUGCUUCACCAAGAGCACAAGAAAGCGGGUAGAGGGUCCUCUGGGUGAGGGGGCUUCGGAGGGGGGAACACGGGCAUCACUGACCACCUCUGUCCCACCUCUGCCUGCACAGUGCUGCUCCAGACCCGCCACGGGGCUCAUCCGGUCGCUCCCGCUCCUGGGGGCGGCUCUGUUGACAGUUCUGGAAGGUGGAAGUGGGAUGAAGAAUCUGGGAGCUUGCGACGUAGAAGUUUGAAGCUGGCCUAGGGUCCAGGCUCAGAGGGCCCUUGAGAGCUCUGGGGCCCCUUCUGCACCCUGGUUCCACUAUCAUCCACCGAUCACCCCCACCCCACCCCUCUGAAGGGUAGUCCAACGGGUGGCAGAUCUGCCAAGGGAAGCCCUAGUGACUCACCCUUCCUGAAUUAGCUUUUGUGCUUGUACAGACUGGAAAGGGGCAGGGGCGGGAGGAGGCAGUGCUGAGAGAAAGGCGGGCCCCAGCCGCUUCGGCCCCAUCUAGCCCAUCAGGUACCCUCUCCACGACCUCCACUGCUUCUGAUUCUAACACCAUGACCUCCAAGAACCACAUCCCAGGGUUCCCGUUCCCACCCCUGGAAUCUCAUCCUAAGGGCUCCCAAUACUGACAUUUUUGCACCCUUGCCUGUCUUUGGGGCAGGCCCAGGCCCCACCCAGGCUAGCAGCCUGGCUCAGAUGGAGAAGCUGGGUGAAGCUCUGGCGAGCAAGGCCAAGCACGCCAUCGACCGCCUGCAGCACGCCAUUUCUGACGAGGCCAAAGGAAGAAACUGAGGCACAGAAGACUAAUGUCGCUUAUACAAUGUCAUGCAGCCAAAUCAUUUUGGAGCCAGUCAAUUUAUUUUUCAAGCAUUUUCUUGGGGAGGAAAGCUCUCAGGCUGGAGAACUCAAACGAUACCCAGGGACAGAGAAGAACCAGCAGUCUGUGGAGUAAGUUUACAUUCUGUAAAGAGGCUCAGAUUCAGGAGCAAGUUGAUGGACACAACCAACUGACACCCAUCCACUCCCAGUCACCGGGAAGAAAGCACAAGUGUGAAGAUGCCUGGUGUUGGUGAGAAGGUGGGACCUGGGUCACUGUUAUGGAGAGAAACUGGAAAUCGGUGUCAAAAAUAUACCACAAAAUCAAGAAGCAUUUAAAAAUUCCUGUCUCCUAAACACCACGAGGGCCACCCCUCUCCUCUGCAGCUGGGCCCUAAGAGGGGGCUCUGAAAUUUUCCACACCCCAGGUCCCUUGAUGGUAAAGCCGGCACAGUACAGGAGCCAGAGAAACACAUGGGGAGAUGGAUGAGGAUGUUCAGUAAGGUGUUUUGUGGGAUGGGAGCUGCAAGAGACCCAGAGGUCCAUCAUGAGGGGAGUGAAAAAAUAAAGGUUGGGAGUCCAUGCAGCUGCAGAAGGAACGAGAUACUUCUUCACAUAACAACUUGGAGAGAUCUGACAAUGUAGGUGGGAGUGAAAAAGAAACAGAAGAUCCACAGCAUGGUAUCAACGGAUGUCAAAUUAGAACACACAUAUGGAAGAACCUUGCGUAUUUGAGUUAUUUCCUGUCUGAGGACAUGCCCCAAGCACAUCUGAAGGAUGCUUAAGGAGGAGAGAGGAACAGGAGUGAGGAUGGAAAGCAAAGGAUAUCAAGAUCACAGAGGCUGUCUUGUUCCCCUCAGGGCCCCCGAGUGCCUGGCGCACAGUGAGAACGCAAUCAAUAUUUCUUGAAUAAAUGAAUGCACGUUUACAUUC